AUCAUUUUUAUCUUCAGCUUCUGUUGUUUAUUCUUAUGACAAAGAUGAUAGCCAACGUUCUAAGCCUUUGUUAGUUCAGAUGGAUUGCAAUUAUCAUGGAUAUGUUGCAGGUUUUCCAAAUUCUCGUGUGUCACUCAACACUUGUUCAGGACUCAGGUU
Molecule: non-coding RNA, 159 nt
Organism: Ceratotherium simum simum (southern white rhinoceros)
Lineage: Eukaryota; Metazoa; Chordata; Mammalia; Perissodactyla; Rhinocerotidae
Source: RefSeq, a predicted model, not a curated record